This 327-nucleotide ribosomal RNA is filed under the name uncultured eukaryote. RNAcentral's name for it is "partial 18S ribosomal RNA". It matches the Rfam family "Eukaryotic small subunit ribosomal RNA", at positions 1470 to 1796 of the family's 1831-position model. The record is from RNAcentral.
CCCUUAGAUGUUCUCGGCCGCACACGCGCUACACUGAAAGAGGCGACGUGUUUGCCUGAUUCGAAAGAAUUGGGUAACCCCCUAAUCUCUUUCGUGCUGGGGAUUGAGGUUUGCAAUUAUCCUUCAUGAACGAGGAAUUCCCAGUAAGUGCGAGUCAUUAUCUCGCGCUGACUACGUCCCUGCCCUUUGUACACACCGCCCGUCGCUACUACCGAUUGAAUGAUUUAGUGAGGACUUCGGACUGAGUCCAAUGCGGCUUUCGGGCUGCGUUGGUAUUUCGGAAAGAUGUCCAAACUGUAUCAUUUAGAGGAAGUAAAAGUCGUAACA